UACGAAGGGGGCUAGCGUUGUUCGGAUUUACUGGGCGUAAAGCGCACGUAGGCGGAUCGUUAAGUCGGGGGUGAAAUCCUGGAGCUCAACUCCAGAACUGCCUUCGAUACUGGCGAUCUUGAGUCCGGAAGAGGUGAGUGGAACUCCUAGUGUAGAGGUGGAAUUCGUAGAUAUUAGGAAGAACACCAGUGGCGAAGGCGGCUCACUGGUCCGGUACUGACGCUGAGGUGCGAAAGCGUGGGGAGCAAACAGGGAUUAAGAAACCCUGGUAACGUCC
Molecule: ribosomal RNA, 277 nt
Filed under: uncultured bacterium
Lineage: Bacteria
Description: partial 16S ribosomal RNA
Rfam family: Bacterial small subunit ribosomal RNA
Source: RNAcentral